RNAcentral lists this unclassified non-coding RNA (214 nucleotides) under uncultured Ascomycota. Its description in RNAcentral is "sequence contains ITS1". The record is from RNAcentral. Lineage: Eukaryota; Fungi; Ascomycota.
GCGUAGGUUGUCGAAUCGUUAAGACGCCGGUCUUCGAAUCGCUCCGCGGGACCCUCCACGUAACGGUGGUCCGGAAACGCGGAGACCGAGGCGAAGUAAACCCUUUGACUAUGAGUACCCCAGUACGUUCCCUCGGCGGGCGCAAGCCCGCCGGCGGACCCCCCCCAACCCUUUGCAGUGGCAGUAACCUCUGAUCGUGGGAUUUGAAUCUUUA